Molecule: ribosomal RNA, 1226 nt
Filed under: Bacillus sp. IWA14061
Lineage: Bacteria; Bacillati; Bacillota; Bacilli; Caryophanales; Bacillaceae
Description: bacterial SSU rRNA
Rfam family: Bacterial small subunit ribosomal RNA
Source: RNAcentral
CUCCGGGAAACCGGAGCUAAUACCGGAUAGUUCCUUGAACCGCAUGGUUCAAGGAUGAAAGACGGUUUCGGCUGUCACUUACAGAUGGACCCGCGGCGCAUUAGCUAGUUGGUGAGGUAACGGCUCACCAAGGCGACGAUGCGUAGCCGACCUGAGAGGGUGAUCGGCCACACUGGGACUGAGACACGGCCCAGACUCCUACGGGAGGCAGCAGUAGGGAAUCUUCCGCAAUGGACGAAAGUCUGACGGAGCAACGCCGCGUGAGUGAUGAAGGUUUUCGGAUCGUAAAGCUCUGUUGUUAGGGAAGAACAAGUGCAAGAGUAACUGCUUGCACCUUGACGGUACCUAACCAGAAAGCCACGGCUAACUACGUGCCAGCAGCCGCGGUAAUACGUAGGUGGCAAGCGUUGUCCGGAAUUAUUGGGCGUAAAGGGCUCGCAGGCGGUUUCUUAAGUCUGAUGUGAAAGCCCCCGGCUCAACCGGGGGGGUCAUUGGAAACUGGAAACUUGAGUGCAGAAGAGGAGAGUGGAAUUCCACGUGUAGCGGUGAAAUGCGUAGAGAUGUGGAGGAACACCAGUGGCGAAGGCGACUCUCUGGUCUGUAACUGACGCUGAGGAGCGAAAGCGUGGGGAGCGAACAGGAUUAGAUACCCUGGUAGUCCACGCCGUAAACGAUGAGUGCUAAGUGUUAGGGGGUUUCCGCCCCUUAGUGCUGCAGCUAACGCAUUAAGCACUCCGCCUGGGGAGUACGGUCGCAAGACUGAAACUCAAAGGAAUUGACGGGGGCCCGCACAAGCGGUGGAGCAUGUGGUUUAAUUCGAAGCAACGCGAAGAACCUUACCAGGUCUUGACAUCCUCUGACAACCCUAGAGAUAGGGCUUUCCCUUCGGGGACAGAGUGACAGGUGGUGCAUGGUUGUCGUCAGCUCGUGUCGUGAGAUGUUGGGUUAAGUCCCGCAACGAGCGCAACCCUUGAUCUUAGUUGCCAGCAUUCAGUUGGGCACUCUAAGGUGACUGCCGGUGACAAACCGGAGGAAGGUGGGGAUGACGUCAAAUCAUCAUGCCCCUUAUGACCUGGGCUACACACGUGCUACAAUGGACAGAACAAAGGGCUGCGAGACCGCAAGGUUUAGCCAAUCCCACAAAUCUGUUCUCAGUUCGGAUCGCAGUCUGCAACUCGACUGCGUGAAGCUGGAAUCGCUAGUAAUCGCGGAUCAGCAUGCCGCGG